RNAcentral lists this ribosomal RNA (253 nucleotides) under uncultured bacterium. Its description in RNAcentral is "partial 16S ribosomal RNA". It matches the Rfam family "Bacterial small subunit ribosomal RNA", at positions 524 to 776 of the family's 1533-position model. The record is from RNAcentral.
UACGGGGGGGGCAAGCGUUGUUCGGAAUUACUGGGCGUAAAGGGCGCGUAGGCGGCCUACUAAGUCGGACGUGAAAUCCCUCGGCUCAACCGAGGAACUGCGUCCGAUACUGGCAGGCUGGAAUCCGGGAGAGGGAUGUGGAAUUCCAGGUGUAGCGGUGAAAUGCGUAGAUAUCUGGAGGUACACCGGUGGCGAAGGCGGCAUCCUGGACCGGUAUUGACGCUGAGGCGCGAAAGCUAGGGGAGCAAACGGG